Molecule: non-coding RNA, 5652 nt
Organism: Phalacrocorax carbo (great cormorant)
Lineage: Eukaryota; Metazoa; Chordata; Aves; Suliformes; Phalacrocoracidae
Source: RefSeq, a predicted model, not a curated record
UCCAUCUGUGCUAACUUUUGCUCGAGAGUUUGGCUGCUCUUACUAGAGGGUUGUGCCUUUUCCUGGGACACACAGAGGGGAUAGAUGGAGCCUAGUAUAAAAAGGCUAGUUCCCAUGGCGUGAUCCAGAGUGCCACCAAAAGAGGGAACACAGGAGACGUGUUGUACCUCAGUCCUUAAUCUCAUGCUCAGACAGAACAGUUCCGGGGAAGAACUACUUGUUGCCAUAUGUGAAGCAUGACAGCCCCACGCUUGUGAAAGCUGUGCACACACACUGUGGCUUUGGUGGGUUUCCUUUCAGAAAUGACCUGGCACUCCUGGAGCUGCAGAUUCCCAUUGACCCAGAGGAAGAACUGGCUGGCAGGCUCUAACAAGCAUCUCUCCUCCUCUCCCACAAGGACUGUGCGAACUACUGGGGACAAAAUUGAAGAGACCAACAUCUGUGGGAGAGCCGCAGGGGCAGCUUUUUGCAUGAGACUCUAGGUGGCCGUUGAUCUGUGUGAUUGACAGGCAUUAAAAGCUGGUUGGUAUUGCAAGCUGGGGAAGUGACAAGUGCCAUCCAGAGUCACCAAGAUUCUACACCAGGGUUCUGCCUACAGAUGCUGGAUUUCAUCAGUCACAAACCAAAAGUUAGAUUAACAUGAAUGGGAGCUUUUUCAGGUUUUUGUGUAUUUUUCCUCAACAAAGAGCUUGUGCUGUGUACUGGGUAAGUGUUCGUCAUUCAGGUCACCUUCUUGCAAACCUAUCCUCUUUGGAAGCUCAAACUUGAGCACUUAGUUUCAGAAAUCCCCUUCCUACUGCAGCAAAGCUUGUGGUGCUAGAGUGCCGAUAUAAAUUCAGUUCCUGAAAGGUGCCUAGAAAACACUAUCCUUCCGUGUUUAGGUGCAUGUUGAGUGUCAAGUCCUUUACACAGCUGGUACUCAUCUGUCAAAAUAAAAUCAGUACACCCUGUUCAUCUUAGAUAACCUGAUUUACCAGAGGGAAGUAGCUGCUGCAGCAGCAUGGAUAGCUAAGAUGGACUGCUCUAGCUGCAGUGUUACUUUGCUGAAAAGGAAGUGAUCUGGAAUUUGGUGUGAUGGCUCAUCCAUUGUAACUAUCAUUCAGGUUUCACAGAGGUUUAUCUAUGCCAAGCUCUUACCUUUGUCUCUCAUAUUAGGCCAUACUGACAUGAUUUCAGUUGCCAGAAGUUUGGGGUUUGGUUUUUUUGAUUGUUUGUUUGUUUGAAAGGGAAGGGUUUAAAUAUAAUUUCUUGGGGGAGGGAAAAGUGGUGUCUGACUUAUCUAAAGCUUCUUAUGAGCCAGUAGUUAAAAACUAGACUUGGAAGUGAAGUGUAUUUGUGAAGAAGGAAUCAUAGAACACCAGGUUGGAAAGGACCUCAAGGAUCAUCUGGUCCAACUUUUCUUGGCAAAAGUACACUCCAGACAAGAUGGUCCAGCACCUUGUCCAGCCGAAUCUUAAAAAUGUCCAGUGUUGGGGAAUCCAUUGUUUCUCUGGGGAGAUUAUUCCAAUGGCUGAUUGUUCUCAUUGUGAAAAAUUUUCCUCUUGUGUGCAAUCAGAAUCUCCCCAGGAGUAACUUGUACCUGUUGCCCCUUGUCUUCUCCAUGUGACUCCUUGUAAAAAGGGACCCUACAUCUUCUUUGUAGCCACCCUUUAAAUAGUGGAACGUGGUGAUAAGGUGUCACCUAAGCCUUCUUUUCUCAAGGCUGAACAAACCCAGUUCUUUUAGCCUUUCCUCAUAUGGCAGGCUUCCCAGUCCUUUGAUCAUCUUUGUUGCCCUUCUGUGGGCCCUCUCCAGCCUGUCCACGUCUUUUUUUGUAUAGCAGGGACCAAAACUGAACACAGUAUUCCAGGUGUGGCCUGGAAGGAUUUUAAUGCCCCAGCCCUAUCAGCAUGUAUCAGUGAAUUACAAGCCAGGAAACCUCUGCCUCCAUCCAUCUUCUCUGGUUUUAGCACUAUUGUGCACGACAUAUGGAUCUCUUCUUUAAACAGAGGAUAGCAGGCUGUUUUCCGCCUCUGUGCUGUAUAUAGCAGUCCACUUAAACACGGAAAUAAACACAGGAAUGUUUGUGUGAUGAGACACCUUCAUGGCUGUUGUCUAGCUAAGUGAACCUGGCAACCAAAAUGGCUGAAGAACUACAGCCUACCCUUACACCAGGUCAUUCAGGUACAAUAGUUUAAUAAAUGAAAGGUUACACACAUGAUCUUUCGACUUACCAAAUACUAGUCUCUCUGUUUCUUAAAAGAAACCUUUCUUUCUCCUAUGCCCGUCCCAUGCUGCUUUUGGAAAGUAAUCCUCAUAUUCUAGCACAAUUCAGAAAACAUCAGUCAAUCUUUACAAAAAUAAUAGUUCCCCUGAACUAGUGGAGCUGUAAAUUGCAGUAUUUUGUCAGGCUGCUGUUGCUGAUGAUUGACUUGUGUUAUAACUAACUUUAAAAAACUGCUCUGCCAUCGUGACAGCAAAUGUGUUGUGAGUUUUGGCUCAGAGAUGUGAUUUCCCCAGUGUGUCUUCAGCUGUGCAAAUAAAGCAGCUUAGGGUUUGUAAUUCAGUGCUAUAUCACAGACCAGGGCAGCUUCCUAUCAUGAAAAUGUGCGUGGCGUUAGGUGAGUAACUCACUGAAACCUGCAAAGACAUGGGGGUAGGACAGGUCACCAUGCUUGCUCUUGGUGGCAGGGAGUCAGGGAGAAGGAAACCUGUUCCCAGGACUCCUGACAUGCCAGUAACCACUUCUUAUGUCUGGAAAGAGGACCUGCUGCCCAAUGAAGUGACAGUCUCAUCCCAAGCAUGGUUCCUGCUCAUGCCUCAGGAGAUUGGCAGAGCUGCAGGAUGAAACCAGCUCUGGGGUGUGCUUAUGGUGACAACAGAAACCCCUGGCCUGCCACAGGGAAUUUUAUACCUUAAAUUCCACGGGGAGAAGAGUGUUGGAGAGUUUCUGGUAAAGCUGAAGAGAAGCAAUUAAUAUUCAUCUGAAUGUUUUUUAAUUUAUUGACCUAGAAACAGGCAGUCAGGUCCCAAGAGGCAUAACUACUGACCUGGUAAGGAAAGAGUCACCACAUAAAAUAAUUUGGGCUUCAAGUGCAGAGCUAGAAUUUAAAUGAAUAUGUAGGGUGUAUGCUGUUUAUUUCAUCCCUCAAGAUCUGCUGCGCUGCACAGUCUCCUUUGGACCAUUUGUUUGGUGCAGAGACAUUUGGUAAGAGAAGAGAGAGCCCCAGUCCAGGGUGAGGUGCAGCACUUUGUACAGAGAAGUUUUCCCUCUGUACCUUUUUACGAGCAAGUCUGGCUCUUAUAUUAUAAAUGUACUCACUGGGGGAAAGGGAACAGCAGAACCAAGAAUUACUUGCACCUUUUGGAGGAAGAGGCACUGAGGUACUGAAGGAGGCAUAGAUGGUGGGGGAAAGUAGAGUUGCAUAAUUAGAGCAUGACAAGUUAUUCCCAAAAGCGUGAACCCUAAUGAGCUCUUGCCUCUAGUUCCAGACUUGCUUGAAAGAAAAGCAGAUCAUAGAUUAAUCUACAUAGCAUUGCUUUUUGGGGGAAUAGCUCUGCUCUCCAGGACAGCAGCUUUACCCCACUGCAAAGCUCAUUGCUGAUUCCACCCUUCAGUAAUACCUCAUGUAUAAAUCCCACAGCACUGAUGUUUUUCUGCUUAAAGAGGACAAGUGUAUACCACACCAGUUAUAAAUCUUCUAUACAAUUUGACUAUAUUGUCAACAUAGGAAUUCAAAAUCAGUAGGAAGUUCUCCUGACCACCAACUCCCCCAUCAGCCCAAGCUGCGGUUCAAGCUAACCUGGCUUUCUUGUUUCAUGGGCUCUGGGAUUUGUGUACUAAGGUCUGGAGGGAGAAGGAGGACUCCUGCCUGGCACUAGCCAGAUGUGCUUGAAUGCUGUGUGUGAGUUUUUUAUGGCACAGGAAAUGGGACUAUGAAAACCCAAAUAGGCUUCUCAUUAAAAUUUCUCAAGUAGCCGGGAACACAGCACAUCCUGAUGCUUCUAGAAAUGUCCUUCCAUUAGCAGUUACUGCAUGAAGCUGAUUGUCCCAUCAAAGAGGCAUGUUCUGCUUAAUUGCAAUGGAGAUGUGAUCCUGGUUCACUGUUGUCACUUCAUGGCUUUUUUUUUUCUCUUUGCUUGAAAGUAGUUUAGGAAGAAACCACAAGCUGCUGAUUGUACAAGAAAUUUUUUCUUUUUUUAAAUUUAGCAAGUGCUGGUUUAAGAUGAGUGGUGAGAUGUUUUGUUUGCUUUUUUAAGAAAAAAAAUACAAACAAAAAAAUUUUGAUUACUCUUUUCCCAGAAAAGCUCAUGCUUAAUGUUGGGGCUCAGAUUUCUUCCUUUCAGUGUUCUAAGUAGCCUGUCAUAUUUGUUUAUGGGCUGAAAGGCCUCCAAGAAGAAUCUGUAACAUUUGACAUAACUAAAACUUAUAAACUAAAGAGCAGAUCAGUAUAUCCUCGAAGCAAAAUAGCCUGAACUGGCUGGAAGCUGUGUUUUAGCAUCUCUUUCCUUGCAAUAGUGAGUUCUUUGUGUGUGUGUUUUCUUUCAAUACAGAAUGAAUGCACCCACACACAAAUAAGGAUCAGUUGCUAUUUUUCUUCUCAAGAUACAUACAGGAUAUUUUUCUGCUUGCUGUAUGCUCUGCUCUCCCUUUGUUCCGUGGCACCUUUUAAGUAAUUGCUGCUUUUCUGAUUAAAGUACAUGAGUACAAGCUGAAAGUUUGGCACAAGACAGCCAAUGCUUUUUAAUUGCCUUUAGCUCAACUCUAGCGGUGGCACUUCUCUUUGAAUGCAACUGACUUGCAAGAAAGGCUGGGAGAGAAAUGAAGCACUUUUUAUUUAUGCUUUUUCUCUGGCAAAAUUGCUCUGUGAAUUUUUAUCACCUAAUGGUUUCUCUGACACCUUUUAAAACUGUUUAGCUCUUCACCAGGAGACUAUUUUAUGUGAGACUUGAGCCAGUAAACCAUAUCUGUGAUCUGGGAAGUGCUAUCCUUCCUUUGCAGAGCAAUUCAUUUUGAAAUUAGCUGGGCAUGCCUUCUCAAGAAGAACUCACAGUUGCUUGGCUGCUAGUUCUGAAUGGAUCUAUUAAAUGUGUUAUUUCUGUAAAAAAAAAAAAAAGCAAAGAUCUAUUGCUGGCUAACAGGUCCUGAAAUUCAUGCAUAUCAAGGGUAGCAUAAAUAGCUUCAGUGUGUGAUUUUUGAGAGACUAGUGGUCUCUGCCUUAGUAAAUACGAACUUCUAUCCAGUCUAUUGAAAAAGGUGGUUAUAUAAGGUGGAAAUCCGCUGGGGCUUCAGCAGAGCUGGGAGGAACUGGUGUCUCUUCUGUUCAACUGGCAGCACUUAGUGAUAUGGUGGUUAACUGGCUUCUCCUGUACUAAGCUCUGUCCAGCCUUGUCCUUCUCCCAUGUGGUUCCAAAGCAUGGUCUGAAGCCCCAGGUCCUUUCUCUCCCUUGUCUGAGACACCUCAUAGAAAUGCUAUUACCCUAUAUCACCCCCACUGAUGUACCAGGGAGGCGUGGUCUAUGGCAGUUUAGAUGGGACAUUGCUGCUGCCUCUGACCAGCAAGGCGCAGCUGUGCUAGAUUUAAGCACUUUCAAUUUCCUUCUGGAAAUUAGCGUGUUGUGGGUAGGUGUCUGCUCGCUAUGGCAAAUAGUAAUGGCAGGCUCCUAGCAAGU